CUGGAAGGCAUCUAAUAUAGGACUCGUUUUUGGUGUCGGGUCUGGCAUCUUUUUCCUUCUAACCUUCUUUGCAGGAGUCGUUUGCUUCUCAAAGCAUUCAGCACGUAGAACAGGCAGUCCAAUUCCUGCAUCUUUUACGUUUCCUGUGUCUGAGGAGCACAACACACUUCUGUCUUUAUGGCCAAGCUCUUGUUUUAAAACUGGUUUGAAGAACUCUGUAAUAGACUGGUUUCUGCAGUCCCGGGCCGCCCCCCUGCCCGCUGCCGGCCUAAAAUGGCGCCCGGAGCGGGUAGCGGGCGGGCUCGGUGAUGGCGAGCCCACGCCGAGCGGACGGGUCAUGGCGCGCGGCGCCCGGCUGAUCCUGCGAGGAGGGACGGAGGUGUGCGACCACCGCCCGACCCCAGCACCAUAGCACGGCCGCGCCCCAGACCCUCGCCCUCGGGCGCCGCGGGCGUGAGGCGGCCGCGGUGUUAGGCUCGCUCGCUGAUUGGCUGAGCGCCUGAAGGACUCACG
This 513-nucleotide long non-coding RNA is filed under the name Gallus gallus (chicken). The record is from RNAcentral. Lineage: Eukaryota; Metazoa; Chordata; Aves; Galliformes; Phasianidae.